This 494-nucleotide ribosomal RNA is filed under the name uncultured bacterium. RNAcentral describes it as "bacterial SSU rRNA". It matches the Rfam family "Bacterial small subunit ribosomal RNA", at positions 29 to 520 of the family's 1533-position model. The record is from RNAcentral.
AUUGAACGCUGGCGGCAGGCCUAACACAUGCAAGUCGAGCGCGAAAGGCCUUCGGGCUGAGUAGAGCGGCGGACGGGUGAGUAACGCGUAGGAAUCUACCUGGUAGUGGGGGACAACUUGGGGAAACUCAAGCUAAUACCGCAUACGCCCUAUGGGGGAAAGCGGGGGACCUUCGGGCCUCGCGCUAUCAGAUGAGCCUGCGUAGGAUUAGCUAGUUGGUGAGGUAAAGGCUCACCAAGGCGACGAUCCUUAGCUGGUCUGAGAGGAUGAUCAGCCACACUGGGACUGAGACACGGCCCAGACUCCUACGGGAGGCAGCAGUGGGGAAUAUUGCGCAAUGGGGGCAACCCUGACGCAGCCAUGCCGCGUGUGUGAAGAAGGCCUUCGGGUUGUAAAGCACUUUAAGUGGGGAGAAAGGCCCGCGGGUUAAUAGCGCGCGGGAUUGAUGUUACCCACAGAAUAAGCACCGGCUAACUCCGUGCCAGCCGCCGCCG